AGUAAUGGCAGGUCAGCAUACUGCCGUGAAUACGUUCCCGGGCCUUGUACACACCGCCCGUCACACCAUGAGAGUUGGGGAUACCCGAAGCCUGUGAGCUAACUUAACGGAGGCAGCAGUCGAAGGUAGAAUCAAUGAUUGGGGUGAAGUCGUAACAAGGUAGC
This 164-nucleotide ribosomal RNA is filed under the name uncultured bacterium. RNAcentral's name for it is "partial 16S ribosomal RNA". It matches the Rfam family "Bacterial small subunit ribosomal RNA", at positions 1337 to 1500 of the family's 1533-position model. The record is from RNAcentral.